Non-coding RNA from Mitsuokella multacida DSM 20544, 104 nucleotides. NCBI's taxonomy places the organism in Bacteria, Bacillati, Bacillota, Negativicutes, Selenomonadales, Selenomonadaceae. The record is from Rfam.
CUCACAUCCAGAGCGGCGGAGGGACUGGCCCGAUGAAACCGCGGCAACCAUUGACUUCGUCAAAACGGUGCCAAUUCCUUUAGGUCCGGCCUAUAAGAUGAGAG